This 436-nucleotide ribosomal RNA is filed under the name uncultured bacterium. RNAcentral describes it as "bacterial SSU rRNA". It matches the Rfam family "Bacterial small subunit ribosomal RNA", at positions 329 to 780 of the family's 1533-position model. The record is from RNAcentral.
GUCCAGACUCCUACGGGAGGCAGCAGUGGGGAAUAUUGGGCAAUGGGCGCAAGCCUGACCCAGCAACGCCGCGUGAAGGAAGAAGGCUUUCGGGUUGUAAACUUCUUUUAAGAGGGAAGAGUAGAAGACGGUACCUCUUGAAUAAGCCACGGCUAACUACGUGCCAGCAGCCGCGGUAAUACGUAGGUGGCAAGCGUUGUCCGGAUUUACUGGGUGUAAAGGGCGUGUAGCCGGGCCGGCAAGUCAGAUGUGAAAUCCCAAGGCUCAACCUUGGAACUGCAUUUGAAACCGUUGGUCUUGAGUAUCGGAGAGGCAGGCGGAAUUCCUAGUGUAGCGGUGAAAUGCGUAGAUAUUAGGAGGAACACCAGUGGCGAAGGCGGCCUGCUAGACGACAACUGACGGUGAGGCGCGAAAGCGUGGGGAGCAAACAGGAUUA